AGAGUUUGAUCCUGGCUCAGGACGAACGCUGGCGGCGUGCCUAAUACAUGCAAGUCGAGCGAAUCGAUGGGAGCUUGCUCCCAUUGAUUAGCGGCGGACGGGUGAGUAACACGUGGGUAACCUGCCUGUAAGACUGGGAUAACUUCGGGAAACCGGAGCUAAUACCGGAUAGUUUCUUUUCUCGCAUGAGAGAAGAUGGAAAGAUGGUUUCGGCUAUCACUUACAGAUGGACCCGCGGCGCAUUAGCUAGUUGGUGAGGUAAUGGCUCACCAAGGCAACGAUGCGUAGCCGACCUGAGAGGGUGAUCGGCCACACUGGGACUGAGACACGGCCCAGACUCCUACGGGAGGCAGCAGUAGGGAAUCUUCCGCAAUGGACGAAAGUCUGACGGAGCAACGCCGCGUGAACGAAGAAGGCCUUCGGGUCGUAAAGUUCUGUUGUUAGGGAAGAACAAGUACGAGAGUAACUGCUCGCACCUUGACGGACCUAACCAGAAAGCACGGCUAACUACGUGCCAGCAGCCGCGGUA
RNAcentral lists this ribosomal RNA (529 nucleotides) under uncultured Bacillota bacterium. RNAcentral describes it as "bacterial SSU rRNA". It matches the Rfam family "Bacterial small subunit ribosomal RNA", at positions 8 to 522 of the family's 1533-position model. The record is from RNAcentral. Lineage: Bacteria; Bacillati; Bacillota.